AUUGAACGCUGGCGGCAUGCCUUACACAUGCAAGUCGAACGGCAGCACGGGAGCAAUCCUGGUGGCGAGUGGCGAACGGGUGAGUAAUAUAUCGGAACGUGCCCAGUCGUGGGGGAUAACGUAGCGAAAGCUACGCUAAUACCGCAUACGAUCUAUGGAUGAAAGCGGGGGAUCGCAAGACCUCGCGCGAUUGGAGCGGCCGAUAUCAGAUUAGGUAGUUGGUGGGGUAAGGCUCACCAAGCCAACGAUCUGUAGCUGGUCUGAGAGGACGACAGCCACACUGGAACUGAGACACGGUCCAGACUCCUACGGGAGGCAGCAGU
This 323-nucleotide ribosomal RNA is filed under the name uncultured bacterium. RNAcentral describes it as "bacterial SSU rRNA". It matches the Rfam family "Bacterial small subunit ribosomal RNA", at positions 30 to 355 of the family's 1533-position model. The record is from RNAcentral.